GUUUCACAGAUGAGGUAUCUGAGAUCAAGAUGAAUAAGUUAUUCAAGGUCACACAGCUAAAAACUUGAAAAGCUGGAAUCAGGUCAGGUUUGCAGGCUCCAUGCUCCACCCCCUCCGCUUCGCAACUGUAAACCACCUCAUCUAAUGUCAGAGCUCCAGGGGCCCGGGAGCUGCAUCUCCGGGAGAUGGCGAUUUGGGGAAGCCACCAACAGCACGAGAGUCUGCGGGCUUAGAGUCCAGAGCUGCCAGAUGGGAGACAUUGUGUCCUUGUGGCACGGAGACAGCUAUCCUAAGCAUCUCAGCCCACACCAAGUUUGGCUUCACGUUGCACUAGCAAGAUUCUGUUGUCAAUUUCAAAGUCGUGUAUUGCUAUCUGAGAUGCACUGAUUAGAUUCAAAUGGGAAGACUUGGAAGAAAUAGGAAGAUUUCUGCUUAAGAGAGAGGAGAGAGGGAGUUGGCUGGUGGCUGGUACAUUCCUUCCCGUUAUCCCACACUUUUGUGGUGGGAAAAAGCUUGCGUUGCUGCGAGGUGAGAUGGAGGAAAAGCAGUUGGUUUGGCAGACAGACCAUGAGGGAUUCUCCACAACGGGGCCCAGUGGGAAAGGCCUGUUCCUCUCAUUACCCGUCACAUUCCACAGGGAAAUCAGCUGGAAAACGUGACAUCAUGUCCAGUCUCUGAGUCCUGAAUGAGUCUGUGGUUCCUGACCCAGGAGAAGAGCAUGUGCUGUUAAAUAGCAAAGUGCGGGUGUCAUAAUGCAGGGCUCUGGGACAUCCAGGGCCCUCUUCACACCGCUUCUCCUCGGAGCCCCUGGGAGCAAGUGACAAGUGUGUAUGCGAAAACAUGCCAGAGUCUCCAGUGGACCCUGGACCUCAGGAGUCUGCAAUAUGGGAUUCACGGUGGAGCACGAUCUGUGAUAGUGGUGGAGACUGAGCACAGGGAGGGUGCACUGGAACGUUCCCUGGAGGUUAGGGGUGUGUUCAGCCUUAGACGUCAGCAUCUGGCCCACGCUCAUUCCCAGGAGCAGAGGGAGCCGUGGAAGGUCUGGAGCUAUGGAGUGAAGGAUGCGGCUGUGCAGCCGGGUGCAGAGGGAGCCGUGGAAGGUCUGGAGCUGUGGAGUGAAGGAUGCGGCUGUGCAGCCGGGUGCAGAUGGAGCCGUGGAAGGUCUGGAGCUGUGGAGUGAAGGAUGCAGCUGUGCAGCCGGGUGCAGAUGGAGCCGUGGAAGGUCUGGAGCUGUGGAGUGAAGGAUGCAGCUGUGCAGCCGGGUGCAGAUGGAGCCGUGGAAGGUCUGGAGCUAUGGAGUGAAGGAUGCGGCUGUGCAGCCGGGUGCAGAUGGAGCCGUGGAAGGUCUGGAGCUGUGGAGUGAAGGAUGUGGCUGUGCAGCCGGGUGCAGAUGGGGCCAUGGAAGGUCUGGAGCUGUGGAAUGAAGGAUGCGGCUGUGCAGCCGGGUGCAGAUGGGUUUGGGCUGGUGGGAGUGGAGGCUCAUUCGAGCUGAGAGGACAUUGAAAGAGGCUAUGGCCAAACUGCCCAUCCUCCAUUCGGUGAUGGAGACGUGGACUGUGUAAUGGGGACUGAGGGAAGGGCAGAAGCAGGUGCGCUGACACAGAAGUGACAACCCUGCAGGGCCCUCAACGCUCCCCAUUGCCUUCAGUGACCAGGCUCGAGCUCCGCCCUGCUGCACGUCUGCUCCCUGCCUCUCCCUCCAGCCUCACCUCUUUCCACCUCCACCCAUCUGUGUGCCUGACGCUGAGCGUCUUGACGACUUGCCUUCUCUGAUGCACCUCACACUCUGUGGACUGAGGUCCUCCACACAUAAGGCAGCCUUGGCCUGAACUCUCCCCUAUGCCCCUGACGCCCCCGUCCCAUCCUCCCACCCUCAGCUUAGGGCCCCAUCUCCCGUGGGCCUUUCCUGAACCUCCACCCAUGACCGACGAGGGUGUCCCUUCCACGCGCUCGGCCCGUGGGCUGGGAUUACGUUUGCGCGUCGGCUUCGUCAGGCCGCACACUCCUGAAGGCGAGUCCCUCGUGUUGGCAGGAGCUCAGCAGAGGAGUCUGAAUGUCUGGAGGGACAGAUUGGAUGUGGAGAAGAAGGACAGGGGUUAACGCAGAUCAACGUUUAGGUCUGCUGACCGGGAGAAGUCGUCCAGAUCAUCAGUGUCAAAACUUCCGCUCUGCAAGGGCCCCAUGAAGAGGAUGAAAUGACAAGCCACAGACUGAGGGAAAACAUCUGAAAAUCACCUUCCUAACAAAGGACUUGUAUCCAAAACAUAAAGAAUGCUCUACAUUCAACUGCAAGAAAACAAGCAACCCAAUCAGAAAAUGAGCAGAAGAUUGGAACAGACACUUCACCAACAUCAUUAGCCAUGAGGGAAAUGCAGGUUAAAAACACAGUGAGAUAUCACUUCACAACUAUCAGAAUGGCUAAAACGAAAAAUAGCAGCAACACCACAUGCUGGUGAGGAUGUGGAGAGACUGGAACUCUCAUUGGCUACGGGUGGGAGUGGGAGAUGGCACGGCCAACAUGGAGAAUAACUGGGCAGUUUCUUAUAAAGUUGGACGUAUGCUUAGCCAUGAAACUCAGCACCAUGCUCCUUGGGAUUUACUCUAGAAAAAGGAAAACUUAUGUUCAUACAAAAGUUCAUAGCAGCCUUAUUUGUAAUAGCCACAACCUGGAAACAACCUAGAUAUCCUCCAACCCCCAAAUGGACAAGCACACUGUGGCCUACCCUGUCACAGUGGAUCUAUCAAUAGAGGUGGAUGCUCACAGCAAUAAAAUGAGGGGAACCAUCAACAACACCCUUGGCAAAUCUUAAGAGCGCUGGGAUGAGGGAGAAAGCCAACCUCAAAAUGCACAAACCCAAGAUCCCACUUGUAUAACAUUCCUGAAGUGACAAAAUUGGAGGAUAGAACUGGCCAGUGGUGGCCAGGGAUUAGAGUGGGGGGUGACCAUUCAGGGGUGGCAUAAGAGAGUGAACUGAAGUUAAUUCUUUGUGACUUUACCAGAGGCAGAUACAGAAAACCCAAGCCCAGGUGGCUUACGGGAGAAAUGAUUUGAUCUGUUGGCUUGUGGAACUCGGAGCCCAGGGAAAGAGCUGGCCAAAGCAUGGACCUUGGCCCCUCCACCUUCCUGUGGGCCCUCAGCAUCUGCUCUGCUCUCAGAUGGGCCCCACUGUGCAGCCAAUGGGAGCUCCAAGGCCUGGGAGGGACAACCUCAGUCCCGGAGGCUUCCUGAUGCCUGGGGGCCCCUGGGACCCUGUUCAGACCACUCAUACCAGAUGAGCCUGCAAAAGAAAACCAAGGUAGUUUCUGGAAAGAGGGACAAUUGACAGAGAUGGACAAAGAGCAAGUAUCAGCCACUCAUGUCACACCCAUUGACUGCCAGCAUGGGGAGCAGAUAUUCAGUGUUUAGAAUAAUGCCCCAGACUAGGUAAAUUCAGGAACAGCAGGGUUGUUAUGCAAAAUCAAUCGCUAUCCAUUUAGUAAAGAACCCACAAAGAUAACCCUAGUGGACUUUGGGAUGUUUUGGAAAGUGAGCAUCUUGUUCAAUGGCCUUGAGUAGUUCUGAAGCUGAAGGGGUCUGAAGCUACAGCCUCAGUACCCAAGACCACCCACACAUAUUAGGACAGCAACAGCUGCUGGCAAAUCACAGCACAACACAAAAGCUGAACUCUAACUCAUCCAACACUCCUGUCUCCUGAGCAAACCCUCCUCUCUGACUCACCCAACCCUCCUCUAACUCAACAAACCCUGCUCUAACUCAACAAACCCUCCUCUCUAACUCAACAAACCCUCCUCUAACUCACCAAACCCUCCUCUAACUCACCAAACCCUCCUCUAACUCACCAAACCCUCCUCUAACUCAACAAACCCUCCUCUCUAACUCAACAAACCCUCCUCUCUAACUCAACAAACCCUCCUCUAACUCAACAAACCCUCCUCUAACUCAACAAACCCUCCUCUAACUCAACAAACCCUCCUCUAACUCAACAAACCCUCCUCUCUAACUCAACAAACCCUCCUCUAACUCAACAAACCUUCCUCUAACUCAACAAACCCUCCUGUAACUCAACAAACCCUCCUGUAACUCAACAAACCCUCCUCUCUAACUCAACAAACCCUCCUCUAACUCAACAAACCCUGCUCUCUAACUCAACACUACUACUGAGUCCUGGCCAUUGAGAGAUUUUCUCAGAGAAACAUUCAAACAGAAGUGAUGGAGGUUUGUAGAUUUACUUGCCUGGAGAAGUUAUAUUCCAGUUGCCACAUAUUUCAGUUACUAGAAGCUGGGCUAAGUCAGCAGAGAAGCCAAGGAAGGAAGCCACAGAGAAAGGAAUCUCCCCAGAGUAAUUCCCCAGACAAUUUAGAGCUUUCAGUGGAAUUGGAUUUUGGAUGACAGCAGCCAGCUAAGAGGAAAGAAUUCUUGAGAUUCUUAGCAGGGUCUGAGUCUGGGUAUUUUGUUGAAGCCCAGUCAUGAUUCCCACUCCUGGACUAUCUGUCCUGAAGGAUGUGGGGGUUUUGAAGGUAGAAUUUACGUCUAAUGAAUUGUACAAUUUUGGUAAAUCGACAGUCCUCUGUAGCCCUCACCCGAUAACAUGUAAGAUGUCUCCACCCAGCCAGAAUUUCAUGUCACUCCCUUCUCUGCUGACUUCCCCAUGCCACCACAGGCAGCGUGUGUUCUGAGGGGUCCGUCAGAUGAGUUUGGCCUGGUUUUGAGUCCCUUGGAGAUGGAUGCGUGCAAUCCGCUCUCUUGGUGUCCAGCCUCUUCCCCUCAGUGGACCGUCUGUGAGAUUCACCCAGUCGUCUGCUGGAUAUUUUAGUCCUCAGGAGGAGUAGGGCCCCAUCAGGACCCUUUUCCUCCUGCAGCUGCUUCGCCAAGUGAGGAGGGGGCUCGAGUCAGGGGUGAGGGGCCCGAUUCCCUGACCACUGUCUAGACAGAGACUGUCCUCUCCUUGCCGCCAGCGACAGUGUCUGCAGCCCGGGCAGUGCUGCACCAAAGGCCCCACCGGCCGUUUAGAGUCAAUGACAGGAUGAGCUGGAGGGGAACGAAUGAAACGCAGACCCUGAGGUUUGAAGCUCCUCCAGGGCGCAUUUGCGAGGUCCACCACAGCUGGGGUGACCAGGCGAUCAGACUUGGUGAGAUUCACCCUAAGAGGAAGGCUGGCCCCUCCAGUGGAGGCCGGUAGGUGGAAUUAAACAGCAGAAUGCUCAGAAUUCUCUUGAGCAGUGAGAACUAGCUUCUUGUUGCUGGUGCUUCUCUUUCCUUCCAGCAAAGCUGAGUUUAGAUCCUCUGAACCAUCAACAAAC
Equus caballus (horse) is the source of this 5301-nucleotide long non-coding RNA. The record is from Ensembl. NCBI's taxonomy places the organism in Eukaryota, Metazoa, Chordata, Mammalia, Perissodactyla, Equidae.